This 394-nucleotide ribosomal RNA is filed under the name uncultured bacterium. Its description in RNAcentral is "bacterial SSU rRNA". It matches the Rfam family "Bacterial small subunit ribosomal RNA", at positions 28 to 428 of the family's 1533-position model. The record is from RNAcentral.
GACGAACGCUGGCGGCGUGCUUAACACAUGCAAGUCGAGCGGUAAGGCCCUUUCGGGGGUACACGAGCGGCGAACGGGUGAGUAACACGUGGGUGACCUGCCCUCAGCUCUGGGAUAAGCCUGGGAAACUGGGUCUAAUACCGGAUAUGACUCCAUGACGCAUGUUGUGGGGUGGAAAGCCUUGUGCGGCUGAGGAUGGGCCCGCGGCCUAUCAGCUUGUUGGUGGGGUGAUGGCCUACCAAGGCGACGACGGGUAGCCGGCCUGAGGGGCGACCGGCCACACUGGGACUGAGACACGGCCCAGACUCCUACGGGAGGCAGCAGUGGGGAAUCUUGCGCAAUGGGCGAAAGCCUGACGCAGCGACGCCGCGUGAGGGAUGACGGCCUGGUGUAA